RNAcentral lists this ribosomal RNA (468 nucleotides) under uncultured bacterium. RNAcentral describes it as "partial 16S ribosomal RNA". It matches the Rfam family "Bacterial small subunit ribosomal RNA", at positions 28 to 507 of the family's 1533-position model. The record is from RNAcentral.
GACGAACGCUGGCGGCGUGCUUAACACAUGCAAGUCGAACGGAAAGGCCCUGCUUUGGUGGGGUGCUCGAGGGGCGAACGGGUGAGUAACACGUGAGUAACCUGCCCUUGACUGUGGGAUAACUUCAGGAAACUGGGGCUUAUACCGGAUAGGAGCUCCUGCUGCAGGGUGGGGGUGGGAAAGUUUCGGCGGUUGGGGAUGGACUCGCGGCUUAUCAGCUUGUUGGUGGGGUAGUGGCUUACCAAGGCUUUGACGGGUAGCCGGCCUGAGCGGGUGACCGGCCACAUUGGGACUGAGAUACGGCACAGACUACUACGGGAGGCAGCAGUGGGGAAUAUUGCACAAUGGGCGGAAGCCUGAUGCAGCAACGCCGCGUGCGGGAUGACGGCCUUCGGGUUGUAAACCGAUUUCGCCUGUGACGAAGCGUGAGUGACGGUAAUGGGUAAAGAAGCACCGGCUAACUACGUG